Long non-coding RNA from Hyaena hyaena (striped hyena), 450 nucleotides. RefSeq lists it as uncharacterized. The record is from RefSeq and is a predicted model, not a curated record. The transcript is spliced from 4 exons. NCBI's taxonomy places the organism in Eukaryota, Metazoa, Chordata, Mammalia, Carnivora, Hyaenidae.
GGAUUGUGAGUUCGGGCCCCACGUUGGGAGAGCCACCAGCCAUGGAAAGGAUGAAAAUCUUAUGGAUGAGAAUACCAAGAGUCCAGGUACCCAUUGUGCACAAGAAAGCUAGUUCUAGUUCCCUUGGGAUCCUAGACACACUUCCAGAAGAUUAAACUAGCAGUCCAGAACAUUUUCAGCCUUCAUUUAUAAGAUGUAUUCAUCCAACAAGUAUUUAUUGGUUAUCUUCUCUGUGCCGGAGAAGGUGGUAGAGAUAGUGCAGUGAACAGCCCUGCCUCAUGGAUUUGACAGUCUAGUGGGGGAGGCACACAAAUCUCUGCCUGGCUCUUUCUGCUUCCUGGAGGAGUUCGCUUCUGCCUCACAGCAGACUCUACACUGAGACAUGUCUUCCUACCAGAAAAGAAGCUCCUAUUCCAAUAAACCAAGUCCAUUGUCCUUGCUAAAAAUCUG